RNAcentral lists this ribosomal RNA (468 nucleotides) under uncultured bacterium. RNAcentral's name for it is "partial 16S ribosomal RNA". It matches the Rfam family "Bacterial small subunit ribosomal RNA", at positions 28 to 507 of the family's 1533-position model. The record is from RNAcentral.
GACGAACGCUGGCGGCGUGCUUAACACAUGCAAGUCGAACGGAAAGGCCCGGCUUUUGUGGGUUGCUCGAUUGGCGAACGGGUGAGUAACACGUGAGUAACCUGCCCUUGACUUUGGGAUAACUCCAGGAAACUGGGGCUAAUACCGGAUAGGAGCUCCUGCUCCAGGGUGGGGGUUGGAAAGUUUCGGCGGUUGGGGAUGGACUCGCGGCUUAUCAGCUUGUUGGGGGGGUAGUGGCUUACCAAGGCUUUGACGGGUAGCCGGCCUGAGAGGGUGACCGGCCACAUUGGGACUGAGAUACGGCCCAGACUCCUACGGGAGGCAGCAGUGGGGAAUAUUGCACAAUGGGCGGAAGCCUGAUGCAGCAACGCCGCGUGCGGGAUGACGGCCUUCGGGUUGUAAACCGCUUUCGCCUGUGACGAAGCGUGAGUGACGGUAAUGGGUAAAGAAGCACCGGCUAACUACGUG